UUCUCCAAAAACAUUUUUUCAAUUGCACAGUUCACUGUAUCUUUUCAAUUGCAUCUCGGUAAAAAGUCUGCUAGGGUUCCACUGUCUUUCUCCUAGCGCAGCCCCUACUUGCGGUCGCCAGUGGACUCACUUCGACAUCAACCUUCUACUCUCUGAGGCUCACUCCUUGCACCGUCGCCGUCGCCGUCUCCGUCUCCGUCUCCGUCUACCGCAACCGUCGCCGACAGGUCUAUCUCUCUCUCUCCCCUCCCCUAUGUCCGACCAUCUCAACCCCCCUCGCCGCGAGCCCCUCCAUUCACGGCCAUCUCAACCCUCGCCUCUCAUCCUCAUUCUGAAGAACCCUCGCCUCUCAUCCUCAUUCUGAAGAAAGAAGCGAUCAAAUUAGCUUUUUAAUUCACUUUUUUUUCCAUUGUGCGGCUCACCAUAUCUUUUCCCUAAAUCAAAGCAGUAUGUAGGCAUGGAUUUCUUCUCAGAGAUGGAGACGGCUAGGGUGCAGAUGAAGAUAACUCCAUUAAAGCCAAGCCAACAUCCUCUAGGGAAGUGGAUUUUCCCAAAGAUGAACGACCUCAUGACCAAGUCAUUCACCAACUACGUGGCUCUCGCUGGUUUCCUCGACUUCUAGAUUCGUCUAACAUCAUGAUGGUUUACUUCAAUGAAUUAACCUUCAUAUUGGUCCCGUGGAGAUUUAGCAAAGCUCUAAAGGAUAAAUUAGUCUUCAUAUUGGUCCCUUAUUUUGUUUACCUUCUGCAGACUUGGCAUCUCUUUUGGUUGAUGUAUAUGCUGAUAAUAGUUUAAACAGGCGGAAGAAUGUUUGAGAAAAGGAAGGAGAGUAUAUGCUGAACUUUUGGUUGAUGUAUAUGCCGAUAAUAGUCCCUCAAAUGGUUGAUUUAUAUGCUGAUAAUAGUUUAAACAGGCGCUGCAAAAGUUUAAACACUGCUUUGAUUUCUUCAUGUAAUUAUUUUCUCAGCAAGUUGAACUGCUCUUCGAUAAUUAGAAAGUCGUGAUGGUGAAAAUAGAACUCUUUGAGAAUCUUACCACAACCUUCCCUAAAUGAGAUGACAGCUCAUUGCAUCUGGUAUUUUUUCUUCAAUUUUGUUGAUAUAAACAUCUUGAUUUUGUUUGAUUUUUAACUCUCUUUAAAUUAAUCUCCUCCCUUUUGGUCAUUGCUAUUUGUUGAAUCUUUGAUAGGGUUUCAAUUUUGUGAAAAUGUUAGCUUUCAAGUAGGAUAAUUUGUUUAUCUAUUUAUUUGGUUUAUUAGUUUUGAGGCCAGUUAUCAUUUUGAACAAAUAUGUUUUCUUUUUUAAUUUUAAUUGGGAGUACUAUGAUUCUAUUGAUACAUAUUUGACCUUCCAUCUGGCUUUCUGAUUUUAGGAAUCUCUCAUCUAAGAUUUUUCAUUUUCUAACACUCCACUCAAUGGACCUUCUUUUGAGGAAGCUGAUUUCAAUGUGGAAUUCGCUCAGCGAGGGGCUGUCUAUGUUGAUGAAGUUGAUAAGAUUAUUUCUAUUACUUUAGAUACUAAUAGAAUGAAAUAUUUAUGAGCGAAUUCCACAUUGAAAUCAGCUUCCUCAAAAGAAGGUCCAUUGAGUGGAGUGUUAGAAAAUGAAAAAUCUUAGAUGAGAGAUUCCUAAAAUCAGAAAGCCAGAUGGAAGGUCAAAUAUGUAUCAAUAGAAUCAUAGUACUCCCAAUUAAAAUUAAAAAAGAAAACAUAUUUGUUCAAAAUGAUAACUGACCUCAAAACUAAUAAACCAAAUAAAUAGAUAAACAAAUUAUCCUACUUGAAAGCUAACAUUUUCACAAAAUUGAAACCCUAUCAAAGAUUCAACAAAUAGCAAUGACCAAAAGGGAGGAGAUUAAUAUAAAGAGAGUUAAAAAUCAAACAAAAUCAAGAUGUUUAUAUCAACAAAAUUGAAGAAAAAAUACCAGAUGCAAUGAGCUGUCAUCUCAUUUAGGUAAGGUUGUGGUAAGAUUCUCAAUGAGUUCUAUUUUCACCAUCACGACUUUCUAAUUAUCGAAGAGCAGUUCAACUUGCUGAGAAAAUAAUUACAUGAAGAAAUCAAAGAAUGAAAUAUUUCAUUCUUUGAUUCCGUGUUUUUUGUGAUAGUAUAAAAUGUUUUUUUGGCUGCUAACUUUUGCGCUGCAAAAGUUUAAACACUGCUUUGAUUUCUUCAAGAAAUUAUUUUCUCAGCAAGCUGAACUGCUCUUCGAUAAUUAUAAAGUCGUGAUGGUGAAAAUAGCCUGUAGCAUGUGCUUACAUUCUUUUAGGAUUAUCUAUGAAUUCCCUAUUGUUGACAAGAUUGCAGCGGGUGCUUUUGUGGUGAUUGAGCAAUAAAAAAAAUGAAGGGAAUGUGCAGUGUGUCGAGGAUCUCAACUACCACCACAAGUAGCUCAUUUUACUGCGGAGGACCUGAGAUGCAGAAUUUCCUCUUACCAAACGAUCUGCCACACCGGGUUUUGCAGACACCUAUAAAGAUUGAAAAAUUUGAUGGUCGUAUAUCAGAACUUGAGACCAUAUACACAGCACUCCUUAAAGCAAAUAUGGAGGGUAAAGCAAGGCACAAAGUUGAGAAAAAAGAUAGCAUCCAUGUGCAUCCAUGCUGCAAGUCGAAUUCCAUUUUCACGGCAGUAACUAAGAAUAGGUAAAUAUGAGUAUUGCUAUACUUCCUAUGUCAGCAGAGUACAACUGGAGCCCCAGCACUUUCGGUUUAAUACAGUCUUCAUUCUUUUGGGGAUACCUCCUCACUCAGGUUUUGAUGAGCUUCAGGUUCUCAACUACCACCACAAAAGCAUCCUUUGUUCUGAGUUGAACUUGGUACCCGAGUUUAUAACUAAGUAAUAGUUUCUAUAUUGAAUCUACUUGAAGAAUAAGUAUUUGGAGAAGUUUCUCCUCAAAGGAAGCAACCCAUGUUUCAUCAUAAUAGCUCAAACUUUACUUAUCUUCCAUUCUAAAAUCAAGCAAAGAAGCAAGAACAAGGAGAAGGAAUGUUACUGCCAGUAAAAAGUUAUCUACUAAUGUCAAUAAUGAAAACUGCAUAGAUCUUGGCCCUUAGCAUGACUUGGUUUAAAGGCAUUGUCAUGCAUGAACCCCUUCAAAAUCAGAGUACAUUUGUGUUAGGAAACAAAGUGGCGGCUAUUUAGAAGUAGCUGCUUCUGAUGGUAUUUUUGGCGCUUGGACGUAUAACCAUUGCUUCAGUCACAAGUUUGCUGGAAAAAGAAUGAUUUAUUAGAAUGAGUCCUGGAAAUUGCCUUUGUUGAUCUUUUGUAAUGUUUGCUACUUUACAUCGUGAAGCAUUUACCACUUAGUAUGUUUUUUCUUAGCAGUUAGUAUUAUGUCAAGAUGUGGCUAUCAAAAAUCAUUAGCCUUAGCAUUUUGAGAAUGUCUGGCCGCACCACUACUGGAGUUGAUGCACGAGAAUAAUUACAUGAUCUACAAGUAUUUACCUUGAUUGGCUUUUGGGAGGUUUAAGGUAUUGGAGAGAUAGCUUGGCCUGGACCUGUGAUGUGACUGAAUUCCUGAAAUACUUGAUAAGACAGUGAUGCUUUCUUUUGUAAAGUGCAUGGUCUACUGUUGUAUAUGCUUUUAAGUGUUUUACUGUCCAAUUUUGAAGUGGUUUGGGGAUUCUAGAGCUUCAUGCUAAGUUAUGUAUUUGUUCAGGUAGUACUCUCCACCUAAGUUGUGAGAAUGUUAUUCUCAUGUCCCAUUUUAGUGGUAUAAGUUGUGUUUUAUUAAAA
This is a long non-coding RNA of Lotus japonicus, 3730 nucleotides long. RefSeq lists it as uncharacterized. Lineage: Eukaryota; Viridiplantae; Streptophyta; Magnoliopsida; Fabales; Fabaceae. The transcript is spliced from 10 exons. The record is from RefSeq and is a predicted model, not a curated record.